AGGUAUGAGAAAUCAGGACAUGUGAUUGGUAGUGAAUACGUGUUGCAUGCUUAUGGUCUUAUCUAUGUUCUUUCUGCAGAGGUGGUAGCAUCACUGGCAAUUGCUAGAAAUAACAGAUUGAUAAUGUUGGCAUGGAUACAGUGAUGUUUUUGGGCCAGAUUGAUGAUGUUUGCAUGGGCGCAAUUUACAUUAUAUUUUUUGUUUAUG
Molecule: non-coding RNA, 207 nt
Organism: Camellia sinensis
Lineage: Eukaryota; Viridiplantae; Streptophyta; Magnoliopsida; Ericales; Theaceae
Source: RefSeq, a predicted model, not a curated record